This 537-nucleotide ribosomal RNA is filed under the name Trigonopterus sp. 845 AR-2022a. RNAcentral's name for it is "partial large subunit ribosomal RNA". It matches the Rfam family "Bacterial large subunit ribosomal RNA", at positions 1819 to 2625 of the family's 2925-position model. Lineage: Eukaryota; Metazoa; Arthropoda; Insecta; Coleoptera; Curculionidae. The record is from RNAcentral.
GGCUUGUUGAUUAUAAUUUCAGGUCUGGCCUGCCCACUGAGGAUUUGAAGGGCCGCGGUAUACUGACCGUGCAAAGGUAGCAUAAUCACUAGUUUUUUAAUUGGAAGCUUGGAUGAAAGGUUUGAUGAGAAAAUAUCUGUCUCUGUGAAAAUUUAUUAGAAUUUUAUUUUUAAGUGAAAAAGCUUAAAUGUGUGUAGAAGACGAGAAGACCCUAUAGAGUUUUAUAUUUUUCAAUAAAAUGUGGACUUAGGGAGUAAAAAGUUUAUUUUUUUGGGCAAUAUUUUGUUGGGGUGAUAGGAAAAUUAAAAAAACUUUUCUUACAUGGAGACAUUGAUUUAUGGGUUUAUGAUCCUAAAGUUUAGAUUAAAAGAUUAAAUUACCUUAGGGAUAACAGCGUAAUUUUUUUUAGAGUUCUUAUCGAAAAAAAAGAUUGCGACCUCGAUGUUGGAUUAAAAUUAAUUGCUGGUGUAGGAGCUAGUAGAUUGGGUCUGUUCGACCUUUAAAAUUUUACAUGAUCUGAGUUUAAACCGGCGUGAG